AAACGUCGAUGGAUGCUAGGUGUUGGGGGCAUGCUCCUCAGUGGCGCAGCUAACGCUUUAAGCAUUCCGCCUGGGGAGUACGGUCGCAAGAUUAAAACUCAAAGGAAUUGACGGGGGCCCGCACAAGCGGUGGAGCAUGUGGUUUAAUUCUAAGCAACGCGCAGAACCUUACCACCCCUUGACAUGUCCCGGACGGUUACCAGAGAUGGGUUCCUCUCUUCGGAGCCGGGAACACAGGUGCUGCAUGGCUGUCGUCACCUCGUGUCGUGAGAUGUUGGGUUAAGUCCCGCAACGAGCGCACCCCCCGCCCUUAUUUGCCACCAUUUAGUUGGGCACUCUAAGGAGACAGCCGGUGAUAAACCCCGAAGAAGGUGGGGAUGACGUCAAGUCCUCAUGGCCCUUACGGGCUGGGCUACACACGUGCUACAAUGGCGGUGACAAUGGGAUGCUAACGCGCGAGGGUUAGCAAAUCUCAAAAAGCCGUCUCAAUUCGGAUUGGGCUCUGCAACUCGAGCGCAUGAAAUUGGAAUCGCUAGUAAUCGUGGAUCAACACGCCCCGGUGAAAAUAUUCCCGGGGCUUGUACACACCGCCCGUCACACCAUGGGAGUUGGUUUUACCCGAAAACGCUGCGCUCACCCGCAUGGCAGGCAGCCGACCACGGUAGGGUCAUCGACUGGGGUGAAGUCUACAAAGGGAACCCAAAAAA
This 707-nucleotide ribosomal RNA is filed under the name Ancylobacter rudongensis. RNAcentral describes it as "bacterial SSU rRNA". It matches the Rfam family "Bacterial small subunit ribosomal RNA", at positions 801 to 1508 of the family's 1533-position model. Lineage: Bacteria; Pseudomonadati; Pseudomonadota; Alphaproteobacteria; Hyphomicrobiales; Xanthobacteraceae. The record is from RNAcentral.